CAGAGUUGUAAAACUCCAAAACCUAAUGUGAACAUACCUACUCGUUGCUUCGGCAGGCGGUCCCAGGGCGGGACCAUUGCCUUUCUCAGGCGCCUGCCGGAGGAUUACUACUCUAUACCAUACCUGUCAUUCUGAGCUCGUUAUAAAUAAGUCAA
Molecule: unclassified non-coding RNA, 155 nt
Filed under: uncultured fungus
Lineage: Eukaryota; Fungi
Description: sequence contains ITS1
Source: RNAcentral